RNAcentral lists this transfer RNA (111 nucleotides) under Pseudomonas sp. LM13. RNAcentral's name for it is "tRNA-OTHER". RNAcentral also lists the same sequence under 2 other names. Lineage: Bacteria; Pseudomonadati; Pseudomonadota; Gammaproteobacteria; Pseudomonadales; Pseudomonadaceae. The record is from RNAcentral.
GCGGGCCGAAUCGACAGUUGGACCGACCCACAUAGACGUCAGGCGUCGCGCUCGGCGGUCACGGUUCUAGCGCCGCAAGGUGUGAGAGUUCGAGUCUCUCCGUCCGCACCA